UGUGUGAGGACAGCCUUCACAUACACACUCAUCAGGGAGAAGAUGUUGUCAUCCACCGCCUCAUUGUUUGCAUGGAGCUUAACAUGUUUUCCCUCCGGCGGGUUAAAAAAAGCAAGCAGCUUCCUCUCUGCAAGGGAAUUACUGCCCAUCACCAGCAUCGACUGAUUCUCCACACAUGGCAAAGUCAAGGGGCACGCCG
Molecule: long non-coding RNA, 199 nt
Organism: Gambusia affinis (western mosquitofish)
Lineage: Eukaryota; Metazoa; Chordata; Actinopteri; Cyprinodontiformes; Poeciliidae
Exons: 3
Source: RefSeq, a predicted model, not a curated record